ACAGCUCCUACUACGACAACCGCAGCUCCUACUACGACAACCGCAGCUCCUACUACGACAACCGCAGCUCCUACUACGACAACCGCAGCUCCUUCUACGACAACCGCAGUUCCUACAAGAGCCACAACUGCUGCUCCUAAUAUGACAACAACCGUUCAUAACACAACAGAGACAGCUCUUGCUACGGCAAAAGCACUUCUAAGUACGACAAUUAGUGUUCCUACAGCAACAACCGCAGCUCCUACAGCAACAACCGCAGCUCCUAAUACAGCAACCACAGCUCCUAAUACAGCAACCACAGCUCCUAAUACAGCAACCACAGCUCCUAAUACAGCAACUACAGCUCCUAAUACAACAACUACAGCUCCUAAUACAACAACUACAGCUCCUAAUACAACAACUACAGCUCCUAAUACAACAACUACAGCUCCUAAUACAACAACUACAGCUCCUARUACAACAACUACAGCUCCUAGUACAACAACUACAUCUCCUAGUACAACAACUACAGCUCCUAGUACAACAACUACAGCUCCUAGUACAACAACUACAGCUCCUAAUACAACAACUACAGCUCCUAAUACAACAACAACACAAACGAGCACUACAACUCCACCUGCCGGACAGUCAACCACGAAUAGUGGGCUUAGAUAUAAGUUGGUACUGAGGGUGAAAUUGGACAUGACGACAGACCUAACCGAAUCUGAGAUCUUGAAACCGCUUCGUGCAGAACUGAUCAGACUAGGGCUGCCAGAGACCUUUACACUGCGAUUGAGAUUCAUUCAGAGCUAGUUGACCGGGGGAAGAGGAGGACGACACUGGAGAUAAAACACAAACAGAUUACAAUGCAAACCUGAUCACAAAGAUAAUUUACACACAUAUCUUACAAUAGAUUGUCCUCAGUAUUACAUUAUUCCCACAUGACCUACGGUAACUGGACCUAAUGUAUUCGCAACUAAAUAUCUACAGUGCCUUCAGAAAAUUCACACCCCUUGACUUUUCCCACAUUUUGUUGUUUUACAAAGUGGGAUUAAAAUGUAUGUAAAUUUAUUUUUUCGUCAACGAUCUACACUAAAUAUAGUUGAAGAAAAUGUAUAAUAUUGUAAAAAAUGUAAUCAUGAACAAUAAAACACUAAUAUAUCUUGAUUA
Long non-coding RNA from Salvelinus sp. IW2-2015, 1149 nucleotides. RefSeq lists it as uncharacterized. The record is from RefSeq and is a predicted model, not a curated record. NCBI's taxonomy places the organism in Eukaryota, Metazoa, Chordata, Actinopteri, Salmoniformes, Salmonidae.